This 492-nucleotide ribosomal RNA is filed under the name uncultured bacterium. RNAcentral's name for it is "partial 16S ribosomal RNA". It matches the Rfam family "Bacterial small subunit ribosomal RNA", at positions 29 to 507 of the family's 1533-position model. The record is from RNAcentral.
AGUGAACGCUGGCGGUAGGCCUAACACAUGCAAGUCGAACGGCAGCACAGUAAGAGCUUGCUCUUACGGGUGGCGAGUGGCGGACGGGUGAGGAAUACAUCGGAAUCUACUUUUUCGUGGGGGAUAACGUAGGGAAACUUACGCUAAUACCGCAUACGACCUACGGGUGAAAGCAGGGGAUCUUCGGACCUUGCGCGAUUGAAUGAGCCGAUGUCGGAUUAGCUAGUUGGCGGGGUAAAGGCCCACCAAGGCGACGAUCCGUAGCUGGUCUGAGAGGAUGAUCAGCCCCACUGGAACUGAGACACGGUCCAGACUCCUACGGGAGGCAGCAGUGGGGAAUAUUGGACAAUGGGCGCAAGCCUGCUCCAGCCAUACCGCGUGGGUGAAGAAGGCCUUCGGGUUGUAAAGCCCUUUUGUUGGGAAAGAAAAGCAGCAGGUUAAUACCCCGCUGUUCUGACGGUACCCAAAGAAUAAGCACCGGCUAACUUCGUG